RNAcentral lists this long non-coding RNA (710 nucleotides) under Homo sapiens (human). RNAcentral describes it as "HSALNT0379572". The record is from RNAcentral. Lineage: Eukaryota; Metazoa; Chordata; Mammalia; Primates; Hominidae.
CUGCUCUGUCUACGGAGUAGCCAUGCUUUUAUUCCUUUACUUUCCUAACAACAUUUAUUUCCCUUUAUGUACUCGCCCUGAUUCUUUCUUGUGCGAGAUCUAAGAACCCUCUCUUGGGGUCUUGAUCGGGACCCCUUUCUUGUAACACAACUCCUUUUUUUGGAGUUUUACUUGCUUCCAACAAGGAAGGCAAGUUUUCCUGCUUCCAUGACGGUGGAAGGCAGAUAACUCCUUUCCGGAGUUCGAGCCUGCUUUCAACAGGGAAGGCAAAUUUGAGUUUUCCCCUGCUUCUAGAAUGGAAGAUGGCAGUCUUCAGCCUGAGACCCAUUCCUAGGCCUGAAAGAAUAACUCUGUCCUUCAACUAGUGUUUAACUCUUGUAAGUUUUUUAUUCUUCAGCUUCUGUUUAUUGUGACCUGAUGCUAGAAAAUGUUUUGUUUUAGAGUUCUAAAGGACGCGUUUCCUUCCAACAUAACGUUCUGUGCUCUUGCUUUAAAUUGUUCUAUGGAUCCAAAAAUUUUCGCUUAUGACCCAGGAAACACUCUUCCUAUUGUGGAAUGAGACCACCACUUCUCCUGUUGUCCUUCCCAGCUUCUCCCCCACCUCCCCUUUUCCCUAGUUUAUAAGACAAGAGAAAAGGGAGAAAGCAAAAAGUUGGAAAGAAACAGAAGUAAGAUAAAUAGCUAGAUGACCUUGGCGCCACCACCUGGCC